CAAGUCCAUUCACAAUACCCAUUUCUCUCUCCAUUGUGACCCUCUCAAUACAGCUCAGCCUUCUCUCUCUCACAACAAAGCUCUGCGUUCUCAUCCCUGAAUCUCAGACUACACCAAGAACAAGAUGAAAAAGGUGUACAAUUUUCUCCUCUUCAGUGUUUUAUUCUGUGCUGAUCUUUACUCUUCAUAUAGAUUUUGGGUAUGGAAAAUGGGUAUCGAAACAAGAUGAAAAAGGUGUACGAUUAAGACUGAAGAUGAAACAACCACAUCAAACAGGUGGCAGAGAUGUCGACUCAUGCUAGGAAGACGAAUGCACGAGAGAUUUUAAAAGGGUGCAACAAUAAGAGACUGACUCAUGUUGGUUUUUGUUUGAAUUUUUUCCAGUAAGGGUUUUGUUUUGUGUACUCGUGGAUAUAUGGAGCUGCUUUGCUUUUUCCAAUGUUGUUAUUUACAUUAUUUCAUUUAGGCAAAAUUAUACUCAGGGUCCUUUAAGUUAUUUUAUUGUAACAAGUUGGUCCUUUAUAUUUUUUUUGCUAUAAGUUAGUCCUUUAUGUUAACUAAUGUAUGCAUCGUUGAUCUUUUUUCUGUUUUAUUAAUUUUAUUUUAUUUCGUUUUUAACUUUUAAAAUUCAUAUUAAACUCAUUGUUGGUCCAAAAAUUAUGAAAAAAUUCCUAAAAAUAAUUCUUCUCAUUUUACACUUUGUGUAAUUUUCUGAGAAUUUUAUUUUCUGUUUUAUUAUUUUUAAUUAAUUUAUUUCUUUUGUGUGCAUUUUAAUUAGUUUAAAAAUAUUUUUAUGCUCUAAAAAAUUCUGAAAAUUUUACUAUAGGAUUCAAUGAUGGUCUCUAACGUAUGUUAAGUGAUACAUCAACACCAUUAGUGUCACUUCGGUUUUUUUGGAACGAAGUUUAUGAAAAAGGUUAACUGUGCAGACGUUAGUUAACAUAAAGGACCAACUUGUAGCGAAAAAAACAUCAAGGACCAACUUGUUACAAUAAAAUAACUUAAAGGACCCCGGGUAUAAUUUUGCCUUUCAUUUAUUACUAGGUUUUGAAUGGUUAUCAAUUAUGUUAGAGCAUCGGUCACUGUUUAGAAGUGCUAACAAUGUCCUUCAAUCUAGAGGAAGUUUUUUCUAACAUAUCAGAAAAUAUCUCCAAUGUUCAUAUCCAGU
Molecule: long non-coding RNA, 1168 nt
Organism: Vicia villosa (hairy vetch)
Lineage: Eukaryota; Viridiplantae; Streptophyta; Magnoliopsida; Fabales; Fabaceae
Exons: 3
Source: RefSeq, a predicted model, not a curated record